Papaver somniferum (opium poppy) is the source of this 206-nucleotide long non-coding RNA. RefSeq lists it as uncharacterized. NCBI's taxonomy places the organism in Eukaryota, Viridiplantae, Streptophyta, Magnoliopsida, Ranunculales, Papaveraceae. The transcript has 3 exons. The record is from RefSeq and is a predicted model, not a curated record.
UGACGACCCAUUUGAAUACUGUGAUGUUGUAACAACCACCACUCACAAGUCAUUACGAGGUCCCAGAGGUGGCAUGAUUUUCUUCAAGAAAGAUCCUGUUCUUUGGGUUGAUAUGGAAUCUGCGAUUAACAAUGUUGUUUUUCCAGGGUUAUAGAUUGCAGAUUCUGUUGGGGAUUUUCUCAUGAUGGAUAUGGCUCACAUAAGUG